This 519-nucleotide unclassified non-coding RNA is filed under the name uncultured Glomus. RNAcentral describes it as "SSU rRNA". It matches the Rfam family "Eukaryotic small subunit ribosomal RNA", at positions 569 to 1093 of the family's 1831-position model. Lineage: Eukaryota; Fungi; Glomeromycota; Glomeromycetes; Glomerales; Glomeraceae. The record is from RNAcentral.
AGCAGCCGCGGUAAUUCCAGCUCCAAUAGCGUAUAUUAAAGUUGCUGCAGUUAAAAGCUCGUAGUUGAAUUUCGGGACUAAUAUGUCGGUCGUGCCUCGGUACGUACUGGCUUAUUGGUUUCUCCUUUCUGAAGAACCAUGAUGUCAUUUAUUUGGUGUCGUGGGGAAUCAGGACUGUUACUUUGAAAAACUAGAGUGUUUAAAGCAGGCUCACGCUUGAAUACAUUAGCAUGGAAUAAUGAAAUAGGACGUUUGAUUCUAUUUUGUUGGUUUCUAGGAUCGACGUAAUGAUUAAUAGGGAUAGUUGGGGGCAUUAGUAUUCAAUUGUCAGAGGUGAAAUUCUUGGAUUUAUUGAAGACUAACUACUGCGAAAGCAUUUGCCAAGGAUGUUUUCAUUAAUCAAGAACGAAAGUUAGGGAUCGAAGACGAUCAGAUACCGUCGUAGUCUUAACCAUAAACUAUGCCGACUAGGGAUCGGAUGAUGUUAAUUUUUUAAUGUACUCAUUCGGCGCCUUAACC